AUGGUGUGCGCGCCUGAGAGCGCGACCAUGUCGACCGUGUUAAGGUUCUUCUUGAGGAACGCGGCCUCGAGCUGUGACCGGCUGGAGCCAGGGCCUGGGAGGUCGCUGUUCGCCAGCGCCGCACUUGCGGUGGUGGAGUCCCGUCUCCCAAGUGGAACAGUCCAUGACGGCCCUCCAAGUGCUAAGAUGAUUUUACGGCGACGACGGAGUCGCGGGCGGCGACGGUGA
Molecule: ribosomal RNA, 228 nt
Filed under: Triticum aestivum (bread wheat)
Lineage: Eukaryota; Viridiplantae; Streptophyta; Magnoliopsida; Poales; Poaceae
Description: partial small subunit ribosomal RNA
Source: RNAcentral